This is a long non-coding RNA of Callithrix jacchus (white-tufted-ear marmoset), 5031 nucleotides long. The record is from Ensembl. NCBI's taxonomy places the organism in Eukaryota, Metazoa, Chordata, Mammalia, Primates, Cebidae.
AUGGACAAAGAAAAUUGUUGUUUUUUUUUUUUUCAGGGAAUGGUUCUAAGAAGCAUUUAUAUGAUUUUGACCAGAAACGUUAUCAUAAGACAAUUGGAUCUUGAUAAACACAGGAAAAUCUACAUGACUCUCACUUAUCCCCACUACUUCUAUCUACAAAAUACUGGAUUCAGCCUCAUCCUCCUGCGUCUCUGGGUAUAUCGGACUGCCUUUGGAUUUCAGUAGAGUGAUACUGGAGCCAAGUCAUGUGGCUCUAGCUAGGCCCACUCUUAGCAGGUCUUUUACAGGGGCUUGGGUUGGCAUCAUUCUUGCUGCAUCACUGAGAGAAUUGAAUUGCCUCCAGGAACACAGUGGAGCAGGACGUGUGCCAUGACAUGAGGUCACUUCCAGGUCUGUAGCCAAGAUUACAGAUGGUGGGCUCAGUGUCAGGGGCAGAGAUGGAUGUGACUUCUGCUGGAUCCCUAAGAAGGUCUCACUAAGUAUCUCCCUGGGCAAGUAUGUGGCUAAGCAGGACUUCCCUUGAAAUCAUAUUAGAGAAGCUGAACUAGGUCACAGGGCUGCUUCAGACUCUGCCGUUGGGUUUAAGGCCAGUAGGCCUCUUGGCAGGGGUUACAACAGGCAUGUUGCCUCUUGCAUCCAUGGUUGAGCAAGCCUGCAUUUGGACCCCAGUGGAGCAUGGCUGGAACCAAGUCAUAGGGUGAUUUCAGAGUCCAUAGCCAAACCAAGGUUAACAGGCCUGGUUCUGGAGCCACAGGAUUUCUGGGGCCCUGAUUUGCAGGACUGAUUCUGUUCCACAGUAGAGUAAGGCUGGUGCUUGGUCACAGGGCUACUUUAGGAUCUGCCAUCAGGUUCAAGGUUGGUUGGCUUGCUACCAGGGGCAGGAACAGGGGCUUCUCACAGAACCAUUCCAGAUGAGGCAGGAUCCAAGACUAUAUAGAGAUGGGGUUGCUUUCAGUCUGCAGCUGGGACCUUGUGGGCAAGAGCAGUGGACCCCUGCCUUCUCAAAAUGGCUCUCCUCACUCAGGCUUGCCUAGGGUUUUACAAUCUCUUCCUAGGAUCUCAAAGCUCUCACAAAGACAAUUUCAAACAUGAAUGGUGCUAGUUUGUUGUUUGUCAAGGGGGAUGUGAGCUGGGGACCUCCUAAUCUGCCAUCUUGCUGACACUAUGUCUGUAUUUUAUUUAUUUUUAAACUAGUAAUUAUUAAUAUUAUGUAAUAACAAGACUUUCUUACUAAUUACAACUAUCUGUUUUCCUACUGUAUUUUGGCAACAAAAACAGAACAAUAGUAUUAGUAACUGACUUUUCUUGGAUUUUACUCUUUUGUGUAUAUGAUCUCUUUUAAUCCUCACAGUAAACCAAGAAAACAAUGUUUUUAUUUCGCUCGUUUAUUCAGGAUGAAUUUGAAGGCAAAAGAGCGUUAAGUAGAUAGCUCAAAGUAAUAUGACCAGUAAGCAGGGGAACUGUAGUUUUUACUUAAGUAUGACUUACUUAAGAACCUGUCUUCUAGAGACAACAAGUUAUGAGAUGGUGUGAUAUACUGGACAUACAUAUAUAAAUAAACAUCAUCCCGUACUCAAGAAAUGUACCAUCUUGUGGAGAGCUGACAUCUGCAUAAAUAAUAAUAGUAAUGAAGAUUCUCUAACGUUGAAUGUAGCCAUUUGGAUAUAAUUCACGUCUCUACCUGGGUAGGUAUGUAUUUGCAACUUCUGAAGACCUAAGAAAAGUUUAAUGAGGAAAUGUGAAUUUUUUUAGUCAGCCAGGUCAGUCAUUUCUACUUUCUAGAUCAAUAGGGUUGCAGAAGGUAGGACCAGAUGAACAAUGAAGUGUGAUAAAUUCUCUUAGCGUUAGUACUAAGAAAUUAGAAAGCUGUAGAGGAAGGAAUGAAGAUCUUGCAAAGAGAUAAUUGUAUUUGAAUUUUGUAUUUGAUAAUUGCAUUUGAAUUUGAAUACCAAAAAAAUAAAACUAGUAGCUUUAAAAAAUUGGUAUUUAAAAAUUUUAUUCCUUUUAUAUAGUACUUUGGUUGGUCAUAUUUCACCAACAGAUUUUAAGUCAGUUCCAGUCAUUUUAGAUACUUGUCCUAAGUUCUUCACUCUGUUUAGGUCUAUUUUCUUUUGCAAACUAAUUUAAAUUUUACCUUAGGAUCAAUUUUAUAUUUUAAAAAAUUAUGCAUUUCUCUCAUACUUUUAUAUAUGUCUCCUCCUAACAUCUGGGAUUAUCUCAGUAUAGCCAGACAACUUUGCUUUGUCACAAUUUUCUUGUCUAAAAAUAAAAUAAUGAUUUUUCCUACACUAACUAUUCUUUCAUCCUAAGGCAAACAACAAGGAAAAUAAAUGAACUCUGUAUUGUGUAUUUAGCACUAUCCUAGGAGUGAUGGAAGGGUAAAAGGAAGUAGCAGAUAUAAGUAAUACCUUCAAGAUUUAAUAUAAAAUUAGUAAGACAAGGCACAGACAAAUUAAAUAUAAUGCUUCAAUAAGGACAGAACUUCAGAGAGAGAAGAGAUAACUGCAAAUGGAGCUAUUUAGUAGAAAUCUGGUAUGAGUGAUAAAUUUAGUUAGGCCUUCGAAAGGUGUGCAGAAUUUAGAUCAAUUGUUUCUUCAAUGAAAAGAAGAUGAAAAGCUGCAAAAAUGCAGAGAAUACAUAUGUAAGAAUAAUAUACAAAUAUCAGGUUUUGGAAGUACUCUAUUUGAAUUUAAUUAUGCAUACUUUUAUUCUCUUAAACACAUAAUUAUUUGAACUUUAUUAUGUGUUCAUUACUGUUAUAAAUAUAUUUGAAAUAAAAUAUAAAAUGAAUAAAAUUGAAAAUACAAUUGAAAAAGUUAGAUAGUAAUAACCUAUUUUAAGUUAGAAGAUAAUGAGAAAAAAAACUUAAUUUAGAAAAUAUAGUGUUUAUUCAUGCCUGCAAUCUCAGCACUUUGGGAGGCUGUGACAGGCAAAUCACCUGAAAUCAGGAGUUUGAGACCAGCCUGGUCAACAAUGGCAAAACUGUGUCUCUACUAAAAAUUCAAAAAUUAGCCAGGUGAGGUGGUGGGCACCUGUAAUCCCAGCUACUGGGUGGGCUGAGGCAGAAGAAUCACUUGAACCUGGGAGGUAGAGGUUGCAGUGAGUCGAGAUCAUGCUACUGCACUCCAGCCUGGGUGACAGCAAGACUCCUUCUCAAAAAAACAAAAACAAAAGUAGUGAGAGAACUAAUGUUUAGUAAGGCACCAAGGAAGAACUUUUCAGAUGUGUCUUCUCAUUUAAUCGCCAAUAUUAUAAGUGUGAGCAAUAAUCUCUGUCUCAUAUAAUAAUUGCAAAAAUUAACUAAAAUGAUAAUAGAAUUUCAUUCAGUUCUACCACCUAGAAAGCAUUAAGUAAACAUAGGACCCUCUUUCAGCCCCUACCACCAUAUACAUAUACAUCAACACACAUGCACACUAAUGAGAAGGACAGCACAUCUGCCAGGGGCUCUUGGCCAGCAAGAGGGUCCUAACCUGGAUAGGGGGGUGCAUGGAAGAUAAAAGAUGAGAGACAGAUGGGGUCUGGAGGGUUGAAAAGCUAUGCUUCACCAACAACUUUAUUGUGCUCAGGGUCUGGUUAUAUACGUUACAAGUAGAGUUGCUUACAUAAAACACAAAAGUUAUUUCCAUGAGAUAAAGGGGAACACAAAGUUUUACCAUAAAAUCACAAGUCUCCUUACAUCAGAUAAGUAUAAUGGGAUACUUAAGUCACAAGGUAAGUAAGUUAUGCCCAGUUGUAAAUACUUAACAAUUGUAAAUACUUAAGUCACAAGGUAAGUUACGCCCAGUUGUAAAUACUUAAGAAUUGUAAAUACUUAAGUCACAAGGUAAGUUAUGCCCAGUUGUAAAUACUUAAGAAUUGUAAAUACUUAAGUCACAAGGUAAGUGAGUCAUGCCCAGUUGUAAAUGCUUAAAAAUUGUAAAUACUCAAGUUAUUAUUUUACAACUAUUGUAGCAAGGAUCCAAAAAUGAACACAAUGAAGCAAUAAACCAUAAGGAACGGAAAGUGAACACAAUGCCUCCCAUGUCCUCAUAUCCAUAAAGUAAUGUCUGUUAAUUAUUUUGAACAGCAUAGUCCCUCUCUCGGUUCCUGCUUUCCCUUAGCUCGACUUCCCCCAACCAGGGAUCUGUGUCUGGGCUCAAGCUCACCGUAUGGCGAGGCCCAUUUCCUAGGGGCCUCACACGGGAGCAUUCCUCACACACUAAAUCCUUUAAGAGAUGAGCACACAGACAAUAAGGAGACGUGGAGAAUAUGAAGAACUUAAUUUUCAUUAAAGCCAAUAAUCAGCAAAAUAACAAUAAUAUUUGUAUUAAUAAGAAUAUUGUUAUGUAUCUUUAAUUUGUCAUUCAAUCUAAAAUAUGAGAAAACAAGCAAAAAAGUAUUUUUUAAAAAUGGACUGUAAAAUUACAAUUCCAACAAACUUGGAAAAUGUCUCCUACAAAUAUAUGAUUGCUAUGAUAUAUAGCACCUUUCAUAAUUAAUAAGAAUUAAUAGAAAGAGGCAGUACUUCCUGAGCUGAGUGGUAGAGAAAGGAAUUUGUCAGAGACAGGGUUUAACAAACCACCAAUUAGGUGGUAAAAACAUUUUUUUAAAGCAAUUAAAAUCUCUGGUAAUUAUCCUAAGGGUACACAGCAGAUGGGAAAUAAUUUAUUCAAUAAAACUCACUAAAUCCCAAUUAGAACAGUGAGAGUCUGUGCCAUUCAAACGAUGCCUUCUUCUCUUACCACCCUUGGCUCUAUUCCAGACCUGAGUUGUAGAAACUCCACACUGGGCUCCGUACUUUGGGCAUGUCAGCAUUCUCCAGAGAGACGGAGCCAAUAGGACAUGCAUAUAUAUAUAUAUACCCUUUUGUAUAUGUAUAUCCUAUUAGUUCUCCGUGUGUUGUUUGUGUAUAUCCAGAACAAGUAUACACGCACGCGCGCGCACACACACGUAUUUAUAGAGGAAGAGAAGAAGAGAGAGAAGAUAGAAGGGACUUAUUGGGGAGUUGGCUCACAUAAUUAUGGAGGCUGAGAAGUCCCACGACAGGCCUUC